RNAcentral lists this ribosomal RNA (264 nucleotides) under uncultured archaeon. RNAcentral describes it as "partial 16S ribosomal RNA". It matches the Rfam family "Archaeal small subunit ribosomal RNA", at positions 718 to 982 of the family's 1478-position model. The record is from RNAcentral.
AGUCACUGACAUUAGAUACCCCCGUAGUCCCAGCCGUAAACGAUGUGCGUUAGGUGUAUCGACGACCACGCGUUACUGAUGCGCCGAAGAGAAAUCGUGAAACGCACCACCUGGGAAGUACGGUCGCAAGGCUGAAACUUAAAGGAAUUGGCGGGGAGCACCACAACAGGUGGAGCCUGCGGUUUAAUUGGAUCCAACGCCGGACAUCUCACCGGAUAAGACAGCUGAAUGAUUGUCAAUCUGAAGGUUUUACAUGACUAGCUG